This 253-nucleotide ribosomal RNA is filed under the name uncultured bacterium. Its description in RNAcentral is "partial 16S ribosomal RNA". It matches the Rfam family "Bacterial small subunit ribosomal RNA", at positions 524 to 776 of the family's 1533-position model. The record is from RNAcentral.
UACGUAGGGUGCGAGCGUUGUCCGGAAUUAUUGGGCGUAAAGGGCGCGUAGGCGGCCAUUCAAGUCAGGGGUGAAAGCCCAAGGCUCAACCUUGGAAUUGCCUUUGAUACUGUUUGGCUUGAGUCUGGUAGAGGUUGGUGGAACUGCGAGUGUAGAGGUGAAAUUCGUAGAUAUUCGCAAGAACACCGGUGGCGAAGGCGGCCAACUGGACCAGAACUGACGCUGAGGCGCGAAAGCGUGGGGAGCAAACAGG